RNAcentral lists this ribosomal RNA (465 nucleotides) under uncultured bacterium. RNAcentral describes it as "partial 16S ribosomal RNA". It matches the Rfam family "Bacterial small subunit ribosomal RNA", at positions 28 to 507 of the family's 1533-position model. The record is from RNAcentral.
GACGAACGCUGGCGGCGUGCUUAACACAUGCAAGUCGAACGGAAAGGCCCUGCUUGCAGGGUACUCGAGUGGCGAACGGGUGAGUAACACGUGGGUGAUCUGCCCUGCACUUCGGGAUAAGCCUGGGAAAAUGGGUCUAUUACCGGAUAGGAGCCAUUUUUAGUGUGAUGGAUGGAAAGUUCUUUCGGUGUAGGAUGAGCUCGCGGCCUAUUAGCUUGUUGGUGGGGUAAUGGCCUACCAAGGCGGCGACGGGUAGCCGGCCUGAGAGGGUGGACGGCCACAUUGGGACUGAGGUACGGCCCAGACUCCUACGGGAGGCAGCAGGGGGGAAUAUUGCACCAUGGGCGCAAGGCUGAUGCAGCGACGCCGCGGGGGGGAUGACGGUCUUCGGGUUGUAGACUCCUUUCGCUAGGGACGAAGGUUUUUGUGACGGUACCUAGAUAAGAAGCACCGGCUAACUACGUG